Molecule: ribosomal RNA, 254 nt
Filed under: uncultured bacterium
Lineage: Bacteria
Description: partial 16S ribosomal RNA
Rfam family: Bacterial small subunit ribosomal RNA
Source: RNAcentral
UACGAAGGGGGCUAGCGUUGCUCGGAAUCACUGGGCGUAAAGGGCGCGUAGGCGGCGUUUUUAAGUCGGGGGUGAAAGCCUGUGGCUCAACCACAGAAUGGCCCUCGAUACUGGGACGCUUGAGUAUGGUAGAGGUUGGUGGAACUGCGAGUGUAGAGGUGAAAUUCGUAGAUAUUCGCAAGAACACCGGUGGCGAAGGCGGCCAACUGGACCAUUACUGACGCUGAGGCGCGAAAGCGUGGGGAGCAAACAGG